This 28-nucleotide non-coding RNA is filed under the name Mus musculus (house mouse). Lineage: Eukaryota; Metazoa; Chordata; Mammalia; Rodentia; Muridae. The record is from RNAcentral.
UGCUUUCACAUUGGUUUCCAUUCUACAA